GUGCUUGCUUUGUCAGCACAUGUACUUAAAUUGGAAAGAUACAGAAAAGAUUAUCCCAGCCCUGUGUGAAGAUGACCUACAAAUUUAUGACUCUCACUUUGUU
This is a small nuclear RNA of Nycticebus coucang (slow loris), 103 nucleotides long. NCBI's taxonomy places the organism in Eukaryota, Metazoa, Chordata, Mammalia, Primates, Lorisidae. The record is from RefSeq and is a predicted model, not a curated record.